This 492-nucleotide ribosomal RNA is filed under the name uncultured bacterium. RNAcentral describes it as "partial 16S ribosomal RNA". It matches the Rfam family "Bacterial small subunit ribosomal RNA", at positions 29 to 507 of the family's 1533-position model. The record is from RNAcentral.
AGUGAACGCUGGCGGUAGGCCUAACACAUGCAAGUCGAACGGCAGCACAGUAAGAGCUUGCUCUUACGGGUGGCGAGUGGCGGACGGGUGAGGAAUACAUCGGAAUCUACUUUUUCGUGGGGGAUAACGUAGGGAAACUUACGCUAAUACCGCAUACGACCUACGGGUGAAAGCAGUGGAUCUUCGCACCUUGCGCGGUUGAAUGAGCCGAUGUCGGAUUAGCUAGUUGGCGGGGUAAAGGCCCACCAAGGCGACGAUCCGUAGCUGGUCUGAGAGGAUGGUCAGCCACACUGGAACUGAGACACGGUCCAGACUCCUACGGGAGGCAGCAGUGGGGAAUAUUGGACAAUGGGCGCAAGCCUGAUCCAGCCAUACCGCGUGGGUGAAGAAGGCCUUCGGGUUGUAAAGCCCUUUUGUUGGGAAAGAAAAGCAGCAGGUUAAUACCCCGCUGUUCUGACGGUACCCAAAGAAUAAGCACCGGCUAACUUCGUG